GGCCUGUCCUGGGGCAUUGGUGGCAUUCUGGGGGCAUGUCUCUUGCUGUGCCAUCUCUGCCUCCCCCUGGUAAGAGCUCUGUCUUCCUCUUCCUAUAGGAAAAGAAAACCAACAGUGAAAUACACAAAGCACAAACGGAGCAGUUAGAGGUUCAAUUCCAGACAAUCAACAUCCUCGUGUUGGAAAAAGCAGACUUGAAGACCAUCCUUUACCGUACUAAAUGUGCUGCCAGGCACUUUGAAGGAGAAUCUAAGAUCUGGCCAGCCACCUGCAAUAUUCCUUGCAGCAUAUUGGAGAGUUGGAGUGGGCUCUCUCUACUGUCUCCAUGCAGCAGCAGGAGGAGGACAGGAUGGAGGAGGACAUCUGGACAGUGAGGAGGAGGAGGUGCCUCAGCCCCUGCCAAGCAUCCUGGAGGACCUGGAGAGCCGGGAGGCCAUGGUGAGCUGACUCCCCCUGCGCCCCCUUUGCCACCUUCCUCUGUGGUCCCUCCCAGACCCCCUUAUGCUC
Molecule: long non-coding RNA, 507 nt
Organism: Pongo pygmaeus (Bornean orangutan)
Lineage: Eukaryota; Metazoa; Chordata; Mammalia; Primates; Hominidae
Exons: 4
Source: RefSeq, a predicted model, not a curated record